CCUACGGGAGGCAGCAGUGGGGAAUAUUGCACAAUGGGCGAAAGCCUGAUGCAGCAACGCCGCGUGAGCGAUGAAGGCCUUCGGGUCGUAAAGCUCUGUCCUCAAGGAAGAUCAUGACGGUACUUGAGGAGGAAGCCCCGGCUAACUACGUGCCAGCAGCCGCGGUAACACGUGGGGGGCUAGCUUUAUACGGAAUUACGGGGCGAAAGGGGUGCGUAGGUGGUUUCUUAAGUCAGAGGUGAAGGGCUACGGCGCAACCGGAGUAAGCCUUUGAAACUGGGGAUCGUGAGUGCAGGAGAGGAGAGUGGAAUUCCUAGUGUAGCGGUGAAAUGCGUAGAUAUUAGGAGGAACACCAGUGGCGAAGGCGGCUCUCUGGACUGUAACUGACACUGAGGCACGAAAGCGUGGGGAGCAAACAGGAUUAGAUACCCUUGUAGUC
This 439-nucleotide ribosomal RNA is filed under the name uncultured bacterium. RNAcentral's name for it is "partial 16S ribosomal RNA". It matches the Rfam family "Bacterial small subunit ribosomal RNA", at positions 338 to 795 of the family's 1533-position model. The record is from RNAcentral.